This 730-nucleotide unclassified non-coding RNA is filed under the name Melitaea cinxia (Glanville fritillary). Its description in RNAcentral is "misc RNA ENSMCXG00005015280.1". The record is from RNAcentral. Lineage: Eukaryota; Metazoa; Arthropoda; Insecta; Lepidoptera; Nymphalidae.
UUCAGAAUGACUGCGCAGCUUGUCAGCAGCAAGGCUGUAUUCUCGAAGGACCAAAAAACUGUAUGGUACAGUCUAUGGUUGAGUGAGAGAUGACAUGUGAGGGAAGGUUAUGAGGGAAACCAAACCCAAUGAAAGUCGAUCUAACACUAAAUUUAUUAAGAUUAUUUUGAGUAUAUAUAGGCAGAAGUACAGACGUCAUUUGACGUCAAUCGUAGCAAACAAAUAUCAAUUUCAUUAGAAAUCUGCAUAAGAAAAAUAACAAUUUCGUAAUAAAUCAGCUAAAUUAAAGAGGUUACUAAUUAGCAAAACAAUCAUAUUGCUCAAUGUGCGUUGACCCGUACAUCCUGCCGACUCAAAGAAGAAAGAUAAUUUUGAUAUUAAAAUCUACAAUAACAAUAAUAACAAUACAAUUAAAAUUUAAGUACCUAGAUUUAAAUAACUUAUAUAAUAAUCAUCACUGCACUACUCUUUAAUUGGUAUGUCCAGUCGAACGAAUCGCGGUCGCGCGCUCGGGGGAGCAGGGGCCUCCUGGUCUUCGUUCUUAUCUGCUGCAACUGGAACUGCGGUCGUGGAGACGUCUUUCACAGCACUGCGCUGUAUAAUUUUGUUUCUGCGAUAUCGCAUGGUACCGUAGAGACAUCCCGCAACAAUGAUAGACCCUAAGAUUAUAUACAAGACAGAGUACUGAUGUAUAUCGUGUAUACUGAGUGAUGCGCUUUACACAGAUCGG